This is a long non-coding RNA of Dunckerocampus dactyliophorus (ringed pipefish), 1014 nucleotides long. RefSeq lists it as uncharacterized. NCBI's taxonomy places the organism in Eukaryota, Metazoa, Chordata, Actinopteri, Syngnathiformes, Syngnathidae. The record is from RefSeq and is a predicted model, not a curated record. The transcript has 4 exons.
UAUGCGGUGAGAAAUUAGCAAACAACAGAAAAUGCAACGUUGGAAGACAUUUUCAAAACUGAAAAGCACCCAACUGCAAAUGGGUGCAGGAAAACGAUUUCGGAACUACUACGGAAGUUUGAGCAGAGCCAACAUACUUUGAAAAAGUGAGCUACCUCUUCCUGUGUAGCCUGAGGAUGGAAGACCUUGUCCAGCUCAAAGGUCCUGAAAGUGUUCUGCCGAGCAGUUUGCAGCGGCCUUCACGGCCUCCUCCUUCCUUUCCUCCAAGUGGCCGAUCUCCUUCAGCAACUCCUCCCUCAGCUGGCCGAUCUCUCGCUCAUAAGCUGCUAUCUGCAUCAAAAGAAUGAUCAAAUAAUAUUGCAGCUGUAUUCAUCCGAUUUCCUGAUUUGCUCCUCCAACUGUUUGCACCGCUCGUUCUGAUUGGUCAGCUUCUCGGACAGCAGCUCGUUCCUCUGUCUGGCUUUGGUGAGCUGCUUGAGAGUGGCGGGAGAUUCCACCUCGACGGUCUGGGUGACAUACUGGAAGAAGGAAUAAGGAGGCUACCAAGAAUUUGGACUAAGUAAAAUAAUAACUAACCCAUCCUGAUUGAGCCUUUUUUUAUCGAUUGAUUAUAAUCCCAGAUAACUUGCACUGCUAUUAAGGGUUGUUGCAGCUUCUAACAUGUGAAGGUGAGCAAAACAAGCACUCUCUCGGGGAUGUCUAUGGAGGUUUUUGUUUUGUGACAAAUUAAAUAAUGUACAUACAAAGCCAAAUAAAUUGAUAAUUUAAAUAUGAAAUAAUGAAUUAAAAUGUCUAAUAAUUUAUAAAUUUAACAAUUUUUAUUAUAGCUUACUUCAUUUUUUUAAACUUUAUUUUUGUAAUAUUUUAGGACAAACAAAGUGAGAGGAAAUAGUUAAAAAAUAAGUAAAAAAUAAUUUUAAAAAAAUACACAGAGAGGGUGAUAGGUACAUUUCAAGUCUUAUCAACAUCAUCAAUGUCCACAGAUUGCAUAUCAGUCCCAUCUUUUCCAGUAUU